AUCCCCUCUCUAACCCUAAAUCAAAGAAUUAGAAUGGAAUUCAAGGCUAGAUCUUGUGCAUGGACCUAAAUACAAGAUCACCUAGCCCUAACAAAUACAUGGAUAAAUAACAUGUCUACGGACUCAAGCACGGAGGCUAGCGGGUCAAAAGUAAGCAUGGAACCUAUGCUUGAACUUGGUCGCUCAAGGAAUUGUACGGGUCUCUAUCUCUGUGACUAAUAUAACCAAGUGGGCGUAGAUCGAGUCAAGUGCAAGGAUUGUACGGAAAGAACGGUUACGUACU
RNAcentral lists this long non-coding RNA (283 nucleotides) under Helianthus annuus (common sunflower). RNAcentral describes it as "hypothetical non coding rna". Lineage: Eukaryota; Viridiplantae; Streptophyta; Magnoliopsida; Asterales; Asteraceae. The record is from RNAcentral.